This 253-nucleotide ribosomal RNA is filed under the name Dorea longicatena. Its description in RNAcentral is "partial 16S ribosomal RNA". It matches the Rfam family "Bacterial small subunit ribosomal RNA", at positions 524 to 776 of the family's 1533-position model. The record is from RNAcentral. Lineage: Bacteria; Bacillati; Bacillota; Clostridia; Lachnospirales; Lachnospiraceae.
UACGUAGGGGGCAAGCGUUAUUCGGAUUUACUGGGUGUAAAGGGAGCGUAGACGGCACGGCAAGCCAGAUGUGAAAGCCCGGGGCUUAACCCCGGGACUGCAUUUGGAACUGCUGAGCUAGAGUGUCGGAGAGGCAAGUGGAAUUCCUAGUGUAGCGGUGAAAUGCGUAGAUAUUAGGAGGAACACCAGUGGCGAAGGCGGCUUGCUGGACGAUGACUGACGUUGAGGCUCGAAAGCGUGGGGAGCAAACAGG